UCAAGUGCUUUUCUUCCUGAAAGACAUCUUUGACUUUGAAAAGGUACGAUACUCAACUAUGGAGAGUUUGGCUGAAGACCUUAUGCAAUUAUUAAUCCGACGCACUGAACUUUUGAUGGCCUAUCUUGGAGCAGAUUCGUUGAAACAUGCCAGUGCUUGUGUAAGUGGUCAUGGGCAUGUGAUGACCAGUGGGCUCUUAGAAGCAAAGGUUCAGUAAGCUUAAAAUCCGUGAGAUAUGAGAUGGAGUGCACUUUGACAUGCUCCUUCCCACCUUUCUUUCUAACCCCAAAGCUUGCAUUGCUGUUAAUGAGCAAACAUCUGAAAAUGUACCAUGUUGCUAAGUAAGGAAAAGGACUCAGGGAGGAUACGCAUCUACAAAAAGAACUGGUGAGCAUACUGUUGUAUAUAUCUAAAUUAAAUGUGCAGCUCAGCUGACAUCAUAUUUAUAUUUAAUGUAUCCCAAAGCUUUUUUUCUGUAAUAUUUUGGUAAAGUUUAUUUAUGAAAUACUGUACUUUUGCCACAGGUAAUUUGUAAGUGGAGCUGAUCGAUGUGUCUCAUGUAAAGGCUUAUAGUACAAAAUGUUCACUACGGAGUCUCAAAGUCAUGAUGUGUCAAGACCAAGGAGGUGUUUCAGUGGGGGUAUAUACAGUUAUACAGUCUCUGAUUCAUGUGACCUGUGCAAUAAAGUAAUCAAAGUUACAAAACUGAACAUGUUGCUACUGCCCUGAAGUUACGUUUGUGUGGAUGUAAGCAGUUGUUUUGUACUACAGUAUAAUAAGAGUGAUGCAGGCACCAUUUGGGCAGUAAUGACUUCCAGUAUGCAUUUUUUGCUUUAUUUUUGUGCAAAAUCUAAUAAUCAUGAAGGUGUUUGUAUGAGACCACUUUUUAUAUCCAAACAGCUAUGCUAGUUUCACCAAUAUUUUUUUUCUUUUUUAAAACUGCAAAGACUUUAAAUGGUUUAAAUGGUGAUGGAUAUAAUUCUUAGUUCUUAUGUAGCAUUUCAAAAUACGUUUUUAAAUCAUGAUAAUUUUUUAAUCAUGAAACAGAAUCAGGGGGCAGUGUUUUGUAAUUAAAAGUAUUUAUGUCUUCCUGCCUUCCUUGUAAGGAGGUCAAUUAUCUAUUUGGGAGGAAAUGUGGUGAUUUUGGCCAUAAACGUUAACAUGUAGAAGUGGUGGCUCAGGAUAUGGAAACCUUAACUUUGGUUAGGAGGCAAUACAGUAAUGAGGCAUGAGAAAGCUUGCAGCAACAUUUUGACUGUGUUAAAGCUAAUAAUGAUCUAUAGUCUUGAAUUCCUUUAAUCUGAAACAGUGUUUUCUAGUUAGCUUUUAAAGUACAUUGAUGUAUUCUUGGCCACAGAAAGCCAGCCUACAAGAAUCCAGCCUGUGUUAAGUAAGUAAUGAGACUAAUUACAGACUAAUUCUAAACAUUCAGAUAUUCAGGAGCAUGUUGUUGUAAUGUAACAUAUUGAAGCAAACUUUGAUUAGAAACAUUUCAACUACUGUUGCACAAAUAGCCCAAACUGAUGGUACUUGAAGAUGAGGACCUGUGUCUUUCCAUAGGUUUUACUGAAGCCAACAUUUUGUCGUGUUCAUUUGAUAAAGAUUAUGAAAAAGUGUCAUAUGACUUGUGUGAAAUGCCAACUGAUUAUAUUAAAAAAGAAAAAAAAGAAAUACUAUAAUUCUGUGUGUAAUAAAAUAGAAGUUCCAAAUGCUGCUGUUGCACUGUUUUCACCAUUCAGGUUGCUGAACUUGGCACUCUGCUACACUUUUUUUCUCAGUUGAUAAUAUCUGCAAUACCAGAAUGUGAAGUUUGUAUUACCCUUCUCAUUUAUCUUAAACAUACUUAUCUCUUCUCAUUGUAGUGCUCAAAAAUUCCUGUAUUAUGGCAGCUUUCUGCAGUCUGUGAAUGGAAUUAUAUUGAACUCUAAGGUGAUUCAGAAUCAGUGAGAGAGAAAAUGGUGUCAAAUAUACCACCUGGGCACUUAGUGUGUCACAGGAAGCUGUGGUUUGUCCAGUCCAAUAAAAUGUUGAGAAAAUGAUACCUUAGCAUUCAUCACAGAAAAGCAGAAAUACACAUUUUUACAGAAGUAAAUGCCUGAGUGACCAAUUCUUGUAUUUAUAAAAUACUCCUGAAGAAAGUACAACCCAAAUGUUAUUCAACAGCGCUGAUAUGAGGCUGUUUCCAAAGGAUUUAAUUAUGUGGUCUUCUGUCAGAAAUGAAAGGAUUUAAAACAAAAAAAAAAAACACACCAAUAUGCUAUGCCAAAAUAUUUAGAAAAUGGUUAAGUACCUGAUAUUUUUGGUUCAACAGAUGUAUCCCUUUAGGUCAGGAAUGCUUCCAUGACAUCACAGAGCUCUCAGAAGUCCAUAGAAUCAGGUCAGAAAUGAGGCUGAUGUUUCCCAUCCGGAAUAGGAGUUACAGCAUCUGGUUGCAGAGAGAUAACAACAAUAGAUAUUUCUUUUAGACUUUGGCUUCUAUUUAUGUGAACUUUCUGGAAAAAAAAAAUAAAGAAAAAGAAAUUAAGGAAUAAAGAAAUAGGUAAGGAGAGAGAGAAGAAGGAAAAAAGGGGAACAGAGAAAUGUGCAUGUGCAGAAACCUUCGGGACCUUUUGGACCUUCUCCUCAAAAGCAUUUGCAUAUUCUGCCCUUCCUAGCUCCAAAAGCAGAGCUGUGAAUUUAAGUGGGAGGGGGGAGCUGCCUUCUUGCUGUGGUUUACACAACUGAGCUCGAGGGGACGUAUGGAGUAUCUUGAUAACUGCCACACAGCUGAGGAAUUCCAAGUCUGCCACCUUUGAAAACUCAAAUGCCAGAGCUGCACCAAAGCAGUGAUGGUAUGAUGUGGCUUUACUGAAUUCAUAACUAAGAAGUAAGAAUUUAGUUCAUAACCUCUUUUUAAAUAGUUUUGAAUGCUACUUUCUGUGCUAAUAAGAGCAAGCUAAAUUUAAAAGCCGUCCUGUUCUGUCGUAACUAAAGCUAAGAUCAGAAAUGUUGAAUGUGUAAGGACCAUAGAAGAAUCAAGUAUUUACAUCAUUUGCAAUUUCGUUGUUAAGAUCAUCUCACUUUUAAUGCAUUCUUAAUGCUUAUUAAUACUGCUCUUUUGUAGUCUUUAGUUUCUGUCAAACUAAAUGUGUCAAAUCAAGUGCUUGAGUAAGCAUAUCUGUGAACUUCUCAUUGCCGAAAUGAACUGCAGUUGUGUUAAUAAAUAAAAUAAUACUGUGACAUUACUUGCUUGGAUAACUGUCUAAAACUUGAGUUUGCACAAUUCUUAACAUCUAUUGUAAAAAUAUUUAAUAUGAAAGCAUUUUUAAUACCAGUUAGCCAUUUAAAUUGAAAUUUAAAUUUGCUUCUUAGAAUCCAACAAAAAUAUGACAACAUUGAACAUAUGAGAAAAAGGAAUGGAAGGGGAUCAGCUGUCCAGCUUAAAUUGAUUUUGUAGAUCUGUUUCAUUCUGCUUCUAUUGUGCAAAGCAGUGAUCAAUUUUCAACACAUUGGCCAGCAAUACACCAAAAGCUGAAGAGUGGAAUUUUUAGCACUGGAAGUCAAACAGGUGACUCAGGCGGACAUCUUAAUUAAGGAAGAGAACCCUGCCCAAAGGAUGGUUGUCGUGCUGCAGACACAGCAGGUUUAUUUCCAAAUAGUCCCACUACAGUGAGCUCAGGCUGUGAACUAAGACUUCCCUGGAGGGCAGAUUGGCAAAGGCUGAGGGCGUGUGUUUAUCAGCCCCGUGCCUGUGAUUCCGGCUGCCCCUUGGCUCCAGUCUGGCAGACAAAAUACAAGGAUAGAAAAGAGGACGUUCUCCUGCACUGGGAACCGUGCGAUUGGAAAGGUAGGAAACAAGGAGGAAAAGGAAUGCAUUCAGAUGUAAUAAAACCACGCUUCUGCCUGUGCUUAGUGCAGUUUCCAGAGCAAGGCGCUGCUUUAGGCUGAACGCGCUCUGGGUUCCGGCACGGGCCGGAUUCCUGUCCGCUCCAUCAGCUAACUGUCACAGCACUAUUAUUAGGCGAUUGCUUCGCGUGUGCCAUAAAGCGACCGAGGAGCUGACGGCGGCAGGUUAUAAAGCCGCCCCGCAAGCGGAGCAUGAGGCAGCCACUGCCAGCAGCGCUCCGCAGCCGGGGGUAAGUGUGCCGUGCGGGACUCGGGGCUCCCUGCGGCGGGGAUCCGGGACGGGGACCG
Non-coding RNA from Meleagris gallopavo (turkey), 4173 nucleotides. NCBI's taxonomy places the organism in Eukaryota, Metazoa, Chordata, Aves, Galliformes, Phasianidae. The record is from RefSeq and is a predicted model, not a curated record.